This 1243-nucleotide ribosomal RNA is filed under the name metagenome. RNAcentral describes it as "bacterial LSU rRNA". It matches the Rfam family "Bacterial large subunit ribosomal RNA", at positions 1564 to 2815 of the family's 2925-position model. The record is from RNAcentral.
UGAAUACGAGAUGCUACGGCAUCGAAGCAGUCUAUGUCAUACUUCCAAGAAAAGCUUGCACUGUCAUAAACAAAUAAUGCCUGUACCAUAACCGACACAGGUGGGUAGGUAGAGUAUACUAAGGGGCGCGAGAUAACUCUCUCUAAGGAACUCGGCAAAAUGACUCCGUAACUUCGGGAGAAGGAGUGCCUUAUUUUAUAAGGUUGCAAUAACAAGAUCCAAGCAACUGUUUACCAAAAACACAGGUCUCCGCUAAGUCGUAAGACGAUGUAUGGGGGCUGACGCCUGCCCAGUGCCAGAAGGUUAAAGAAGUUGGUUAGCAUUAGCGAAGCUGAUAACUGAAGCCCUGGUGAACGGCGGCCGUAACAAUAACGGUCCUAAGGUAGCGAAAUUCCUUGUCGGGUAAGUUCCGACCCGCACGAAAGGCGUAAUGAUUUGGAUACUGUCUCGGAGAGGGGCUCGGUGAAAUAGACUUGUCUGUGAAGAUGCGGACUACCUGCACCAGGACAGAAAGACCCUAUGAAGCUUUACUGUAACUUGAGAUUGAAAUUGGACUUUAUUUGCGCAGUAUAGGUGGGAGACGUUGAAAAUAUUCUUGCGGGAAUAUUGGAGUCAUCAGUGAGAUACCACUCUUAUAAUGUUAGAUUUCUAACUUUGUAUCAUUAUCUGGUCAAAGAACAGUCUCAGGCGGGCAGUUUGACUGGGGCGGUCGCCUCCCAAACGGUAACGGAGGCGCACAAAGGUUUCCUCUGAACGUGUAGAAAUCGUAUCUAGAGUGUAAAGGCAUAAGGAAGCUUGACUGUGAGACCUACAAGUCGAGCAGGGACGAAAGUCGGUCUUAGUGAUCUGACGGUGCUGAGUGGAAAGGCCGUCACUCAACGGAUAAAAGUUACUCUAAGGAUAACAGGCUGAUCUCCCCCAAGAGUUCACAUCGACGGGGAGGUUUGGCACCUCGAUGUCGGCUCAUCGCAUCCUGGGGCGGUAGUACGUCCCAAGGGUUGGGCUGUUCGCCCAUGAAAGCGGUACGCGAGCUGGGUUCAGAACGUCGUGAGACAGUUCGGUCCAUAUCCGGUGUAGGCGUUAGAAUAUUGAGAGGAGCCUUCUUUAGUACGAGAGGACCGAGAAGGACAUACCUCUGGUGUACCAGUUAUCGUGCCAACGGUAAACGCUGGGUAGCUAUGUAUGGAGAGGAUAACCGCUGAAAGCAUCUAAGUGGGAAGCCCACCUCAAGAUAAGUAUUCAC